Molecule: ribosomal RNA, 2730 nt
Filed under: Triticum aestivum (bread wheat)
Lineage: Eukaryota; Viridiplantae; Streptophyta; Magnoliopsida; Poales; Poaceae
Description: partial small subunit ribosomal RNA
Source: RNAcentral
AUGGAGAUCCCCACCGCCACCAUCCAUCGCCUCCUAUCCUCCAUUCGGGAGGGCACCACGGCCGCGCCCCCUGCCCCUCCCUUCCCCUCCGUCGCCGACGCCGUCGCUGCCUUCGACCCCGAUGCCUCACCGGAGCUCCUGUGCGGGCGCUGCGGCGCGGCGGGUGGCCUCCUCCGCGGCGCGCAGUCCGCCGUCUGCGUCUACUGCGGGUCCCCUAGGCGUGGGGAGGGCGAUGACAUCGCCUUCCGAGGCAGUGCGGCCUACCAGUGGCUCCUCGGUUCGCUCCGGCUUGAUGGAUCUGCUCUCGUAGAAUUUGAUGGCGACUCUACGGAUUCAAAUAAAAGCAAGGAGACACCAAAGAGUGGGUUGGUCUUAUCUGAUCUUCUGGACUUAAAACUUACUUUCCCCCCAGAGAAUAGGGAAAUAUCUGGAAGUUCCACAAGCAACAAACAACCAUCAGUUGCAUGCACACUAAAUUUGCCUGGUGUUAACCUGGACUCAUUUUCCAUUGAAAGGAAAAAGGAGAUAGCUGCCACCGCUGCUGCUCUUCCUCCAACUCAUACUAUAGUGCAGGAAAAGCAUAGCAGAAGUCAUGAAUCCAGUAGCUCAGAGAUGCAUAUUACAUCGAAAGGCUUUGAUUCCUUUGGGACAAAAACAGGUUCUCAAAGCACAAAUCAAAUGGAAGCUACUACGGCAUUUGCAAAUUGGGAUGCUCACUUUCAGUCUACUGGCUCAGAGAGUGUUGUUGGAGACUCUAAGCAACUGGACCUAUUUAAGAGCGCUUCAGUUGCCGAGCCUUCUAAUUUUCCAGUUUCUGGGACUGCCAUCAGACCGGUAUUAGCUGCUGGAAAUCAAACAAACAUAGAAUCAGAAGAUUUAGCUUCAGCAUUAAAUGUAGACAACCUUUCCGUUCAAAAGGCUGUCCCAGCUAAUGCAGAGACUAACGUUAGGAUGGUUGCUGGAAACAAUGUUGCUGAGUUCACCGGGUCCUCCCUUAACAAGAAUUCAGUUGAGAGCAGUGGAUUGUCUGGAAGGAGUGACAUCGGAGUCAGUACUGAUGAAGCUUUUGAUGACUGGCAAGAAUUUACAGAAGGUGGAAAUCAGGGCACACUAUCAGAUGUCGGAGAGCAUACAGAGAGGCCUUUUGUGAGCGACUCCUCACAAAUAAAAGGAACGGACCCCUUGCCCAUAAGAAGCACAGAAUCAUCCAACAAUGUUGCAGAUUCUGAUGAUUGGCAAGCUUUUGCACAAAGUUCUGCUCAAGGAGAUUCAGUGAACCUGGUGGAAGGAUCAUCGAGUGGUCAAGGAGAUGGUUUGGGAAAUCCAGUUGCAGAGCUAGAACAUUCUUUAGAAGCUCAUGCUGUUGAUUUAUGGCCUGUUGGUAAUGUCAAAGAACAUAAUUCUACAGAAAUUGUUGAGCAAACUGAUGAUUCUUUUGAUGACUGGCAAGAUUUUACCACCCCUGGUCAAGCACAGGUUGCUUCAUUCAAUGAAGCUGAAAAAUUGACGGAAGUUUCACAUGUGAGUCACAGAGAAAUAGAUGUGGACUCAUGGUUCACAGAAAAUACUAGGGAAUCAAGUAAUACUGGCUUGGUGAAUAGGAAUAAUAUCAUGCUGGAUGAUUGGCAAGGUUUUGCUGGUUCAGAUCAAACACAGCAAAGUUCAUAUAAUGCAGGUGGUGAACUAAUGGAUAUUUCAUUUGAGCAGCUUGAUGGAACUGGCCCUGUGCAAUUACCAGCAAAUGUCAGCAGUAACAAAACUACAAAUAUAGUUUCAACAAAUAUGGAAGACAAUACAUUUGAUAUUUGGCAAGAUGUUGCCGCACCACGUCACCAACAGGAAAACAUAUCUAAUCUUGGGAGAGAAAUGACUGGUGCCUCGUCUGUGCCUGCUAAAGAAAUUGACUCCAUGGAUUUGUGGCUAACCAGCAAUAUCAAGGAAUCUAACAGCUGCAGCAAAGAUGUUAGUGGAAUUCAUGACUCACCCGAUACAUGGCAAGAUUUUGCUAGUUUUGGUCAAGCACAGGGAAAUAUGAAAAUUCCUGUGGAAGGACAGUUCGUCAAAGAUCCUUCAGGAACUGAACCUGUGGACUUGUGGUCUUCAAGCCAUACAGAGCAGUUUAAGAACCUUGAGCAGAUAAAUGCAAAUAAUGACCCAUUUGAUGAAUGGCAAGAUUUCAAAAACUCUCCUGAGCUGGAAACAAGCUUACAAGGUCGGCCAGGUGCUCCAUUGUCUGGUAAACCCUCAGUAUUGACGGCUGAUAUGACAGGGAUGGAAUUUGGAAGCUUUGCACAGUCUGCUCCAUCCCAACGCCAAAUACAUAAUAAACAAGAUAAUUCUAAUGAAGCAAAUGCAGCUCCACCUGGUGAACACGAAAGGAUGGGCGUAAUGCAGCAGAUGGGUGAUGUUGAUGCAUUGCCUGCAACAAGUCAUGACAGUAACUCCAGACCAAAAUCAGAAGCUGGCAAUGCAAAUGUGGAGAAAUUGAUGUCUCAGAUGCAUGAUCUCUCUUUUAUGUUGAAGGACGAACUUUCUGUCCCUGCUAAGCCAGCAGAUCGCUCUGAGUACCCGAAGAUUGUGUCAGUACUCUGGAGGUGCCAAAGGUGCGGGCAAGACAAGGGAGAUGUAAAGAAGGCGCGAAGAAGGCGUAAAGUAGUUGCGGGAGUGUUUGAAUUCAAGUGUGUGCUUGGGGGCCGUGAGCCUUGUAAGAGUGGGCCGUGGGCCGUAUGA